This 456-nucleotide ribosomal RNA is filed under the name uncultured bacterium. RNAcentral describes it as "bacterial SSU rRNA". It matches the Rfam family "Bacterial small subunit ribosomal RNA", at positions 8 to 465 of the family's 1533-position model. The record is from RNAcentral.
AGAGUUUGAUCCUGGCUCAGAUUGAACGCUAGCGGGAUGCCUUACACAUGCAAGUCGAACGGCAGCACGGACUUCGGUCUGGUGGCGAGUGGCGAACGGGUGAGUAAUGUAUCGGAACGUGCCUAGUAGCGGGGGAUAACUACGCGAAAGCGUAGCUAAUACCGCAUACGCCCUACGGGGGAAAGCAGGGGAUCGCAAGACCUUGCACUAUUAGAGCGGCCGAUAUCGGAUUAGCUAGUUGGUGGGGUAAUGGCUCACCAAGGCGACGAUCCGUAGCUGGUUUGAGAGGACGACCAGCCACACUGGGACUGAGACACGGCCCAGACUCCUACGGGAGGCAGCAGUGGGGAAUUUUGGACAAUGGGGGAAACCCUGAUCCAGCCAUCCCGCGUGUGCGAUGAAGGCCUUCGGGUUGUAAAGCACUUUUGGCAGGAAAGAAACGUCAUGGGCUAAUAC